AUACGGUGAAGCCGCGAAUAGCUCAUUACAACAGCCAUCGUUUAUUAGAAUAUCGUUAUCUUACUUGGAUAACUGUGGCAAUUCUAGAGCUAAUACAUGCAAUAAAGCUCCGCCCGAAAGGAACGAGCGCAUUUAUUAGAAUAAAAACCAAUCGAGCUUCGGCUCGUAAUUUGGUGAAUCUGAAUAACUUUGCCAAUCGCACAGUCCUAGUACUGGCGAUGUAUCUUUCAAGUGUCUGCCUUAUCAACUUUCGAUGGUACGCUAUACGCCUACCAUGGUAGUAACGGGUAACGGAGAAUAAGGGUUCGACUCCGGAGAGGGAGCCUGAGAAACGGCUACCACAUCCAAGGAAGGCAGCAGGCGCGCAAAUUACCCACUUCCAGAACGGAGAGGUAGUGACGAAAAAUAACGAGACAGUCCUCUUCGAGGUCUGUCAUCGGAAUGGGUACAAUUUAAAUCCUUUAACGAGGAUCUAUUGGAGGGCAAGUCUGGUGCCAGCAGCCGCGGUAAUUCCAGCUCCAAUAGCGUAUAUUAAAGUUGUUGCGGUUAAAACGCUCGUAGUUGGAUCUGCGGCCUUGAAGGAUGGUCUCCCGAAAGGGUAGUCACUGUCUCUUCUAGCCUAAAUUCGAGUUGUCUUUAGGUGCUCUUUAUUGAGUGCUUAGAGCGACUAGAACGUUUACUUUGAAAAAAUUAGAGUGCUUAAAGCAGGCGAAAUAGCCUGAAUAAGGUGCAUGGAAUAAUGGAAUAGGACCUCGGUUCUAUUUUGUUGGUUUUCGGAGCCUGAGGUAAUGAUUAAGAGGAACAGACGGGGGCAUUCGUAUUUCGGCGCUAGAGGUGAAAUUCUUGGACCGCCGAAAGACGAACGACKGCGAAAGCAUUUGCCAAGA
This 887-nucleotide ribosomal RNA is filed under the name Nematoda environmental sample. Its description in RNAcentral is "SSU rRNA". It matches the Rfam family "Eukaryotic small subunit ribosomal RNA", at positions 76 to 974 of the family's 1831-position model. The record is from RNAcentral. Lineage: Eukaryota; Metazoa; Nematoda.